Molecule: long non-coding RNA, 1211 nt
Organism: Silurus meridionalis
Lineage: Eukaryota; Metazoa; Chordata; Actinopteri; Siluriformes; Siluridae
Exons: 3
Source: RefSeq, a predicted model, not a curated record
UUUCGUAAAACAUUGCAUAAAACGUUCCCCUUCUGCUUAUUUUAUUUUUAAAUAUUUGGUUAUCCCCCCUUUAAAAUGAAAUCAUUGGGUGUUUUUCUACAACAGUACCCAUCACCUUGUAUUCUGUGAUUGUCUACAGGACCAGGCCGUGAAUCUGUUUAUUUAUUUAUUGCAGUAAUUGUAAAUAUAAAGGGUGUAUAGUUAUUAUAAUUAGUUAAUUGCGUUUUUGUCUCGCUGUAUAGAUUUAGAUCCCUAGGUGGCGUUCAAAUGUUUGAAAUGAUUUCUUUAGCAAUUGUUUUCAUAGUCGAGAGAGUUUGGAUUGUGGAAUCAAGACUUCUUCAGAUGCUCCUGACAGUCUGUAAGAUGGAUUUCUCUUUAAUUGGUGGCCACUCUGUGCAGCUGGGGAUGGUUCUACAUCAAUAGCCAUAAGAUCCAUGAAGUUAAUGAGCAACUCAAGAAUUUUAAGGAUGGAUGUGGACUGUAAUUAAUAUCAACAGUCUACUACAAUGGCUCAGGACCACAAUCUGUCUGUUUCAUUCUUAUACUCUACCUCUAGAUGGAGUUCUCUUCAAUUGGUGGCCACUCUGUGCAGCUGGGGAUGGUUCUACAUCAAUAGCCUAAAUUGAGUUAAUGAGCAAACUCAAGAACUUUGAGGAUGGAUGUGGACUGUUAUUAAUAUCAACAGUACUAAAAUGGCUCAGGACCACAGUUGAGUGCCACCAUCAUCUCCAAAUGUCAAAUUUUUUAACAAAUACAAAUAAAUACCACAUGUUCUCUUUUCUGAAGCUUCUUGAAACCUCAUGCCAAAGUGAAAGAAAUUUGAAAUGGAGAAAGACAAUAAUGGGGCCAACUGACUACCUUGCAAACUUGCUAAGUCCAUUCCUCUACACUGUACUCCUGGGAUUAAGAUCAAACACCCCUUAUAUACCCCUUCACACUUAACUAGAAAAGAGUUAAAGAUCCUUUAUCUCAUCAAAUAAACAAGAUUUAAUUAAGCAAAGUCCAGCUUCUACUCUUACUGUACAUCCAUGGCUAUAUAGGAUGAUUGUGCUAUAAAUAUAUUGUCGUAAUGUUAUUGUUUGUUUUCUAUUUUAAAGAAAAUUUUAAAACACCAAGUGUAUUUUAUAUCAUCAGUAAAAGAUUGUAAUAAAUGUUCAAUAAUGAGAAUUCAAAUGAACAUCAAGAUGUGCAGUAAAAUGGUAUAAAGCCAG